This is a non-coding RNA of Chrysemys picta bellii (western painted turtle), 251 nucleotides long. The record is from RefSeq and is a predicted model, not a curated record. NCBI's taxonomy places the organism in Eukaryota, Metazoa, Chordata, Testudines, Emydidae.
CUUUGAGCUUGGACAGUGUGAUAGGUGUAACUUGAGUUCUCUUCCUUCCCUAACCCACUCUAGAAUCUGAGGAGGAGGUGGAGGAACCUGAGGAAAGACAGCAGACCCCUGAGACAGUUGAUGAUACCGGUGCUUACUACGAGCAGUCUGUAAGCAAUGACUUGGAGGAACAGCUGGAGGAGCCAGUAGUGGAACCAGAACCAGAGCCUGAACCGGAGCCUGAACAGGAGCCAGAACCAGAAGUGCAGGAA